This is a long non-coding RNA of Carassius auratus (goldfish), 2916 nucleotides long. Lineage: Eukaryota; Metazoa; Chordata; Actinopteri; Cypriniformes; Cyprinidae. The record is from Ensembl.
AUGCAUUCCAUUUUUAUGGUUUUUGUUUUAGGACAACAACUCUGGGUGAAACUCACAGUAGAAGUCUCUCCACGCAGGGCAGCAGCUGCUCCCAGGUGUACGCAUGUACUGCACAGUCUUCUCCAUGCAUACCAUCGGCCAGCCGUCAUGCAGGUCCAUCGCAGUUUUCCCACCGACGAAGCGUUGAAAUGUGGCUAUACGGCGAGAGGAGGAGGCGACAAUUAUGUGAGGAAAGGUACUUUAGUGUGUGCUAAGCACUUCACGGAGGAUGAGAUCCGUGUCCAACCUGUUGAUCUGAAAAGUUGCGGAGACGUUAAAUCACGCGUCAAAACGGGAUGUUUGUGGUGCAGAGCAGUAAAUGUCGAGGAGCACGAUUACAACAGCUGUCCAGUCCCAGAUGUAACGUUUAAUGUAACACAUGGUAGCAGUUAUGCUAACAGUCGAGCAGUGCUCUUGCUGAGGCAUGGGAAAAAUAAAGGAGCUGGAAAAACACCUGCUAGUGACAUCAGCAUCAUCUACACACCUGCUAGUGACAUCAACAUCAUCUACACACCUGCUAGUGACAUCAGCAUCAUCUACACACCUGCUAGUGACAUCAACAUCAUCUACACACCUGCUAGUGACAUCAGCAUCAUCUACACACCUGCUAGUGACAUCAGCAUCAUCUACACACCUGCUAGUGACAUCAGCAUCAUCUACACACCUGCUAGUGACAUCAGCAUCAUCUUCACACCUGCUAGUGACAUCAGCAUCAUCUACACACCUGCUAGUGACAUCAACAUCAUCUACACACCUGCUAGUGACAUCAGCAUCAUCUACACACCUGCUAGUGACAUCAGCAUCAUCUACUCACCUGCUAGUGACAUCAGCAUCAUCUACACACCUGCUAGUGACAUCAGCAUCAUCUUCACACCUGAUAGUGACAUCAUGCUCCUCCUCACCUGCUAGUGACAUCAGCAUCAUCUACACACCUGCUAGUGACAUCAGCAUCAUCUACUCACCUGCUAGUGACAUCAGCAUCAUCUACACACCUGCUAGUGACAUCAGCAUCAUCUUCACACCUGAUAGUGACAUCAUGCUCCUCCUCACCUGCUAGUGACAUCAGCAUCAUCUACACACCUGCUAGUGACAUCAGCAUCAUCUUCACACCUGCUAGUGACAUCAGCAUCAUCUACACACCUGCUAGUGACGUCAGCAUCAUCUUCACACCUGCUAGUGACAUCAGCAUCAUCUACUCACCUGCUAGUGACAUCAGCAUCAUCUACUCACCUGCUAGUGACAUCAGCAUCAUCUACACACCUGCUAGUGACAUCAGCAUCAUCUACACACCUGCUAGUGACAUCAGCAUCGUCUACACACCUGCUAGUGACAUCAGCAUCAUCUACUCACCUGCUAGUGACAUCAGCAUCGUCUACACACCUGCUAGUGACAUCAGCAUCGUCUACACACCUGCUAGUGACAUCAGCAUCGUCUACACACCUGCUAGUGACAUCAGCAUCAUCUACACACCUGCUAGUGACAUCAGCAUCGUCUACACACCUGCUAGUGACAUCAGCAUCAUCUACACACCUGCUAGUGACAUCAGCAUCGUCUACACACCUGCUAGUGACAUCAGCAUCGUCUACACACAUGCUAGUGACAUCAGCAUCAUCUACUCACCUGCUAGUGACAUCAGCAUCAUCUACACACCUGCUAGUGACAUCAGCAUCAUCUACUCACUUGCUAGUGACAUCAGCAUCAUCUACACACCUGCUAGUGACAUCAGCAUCAUCUACACACCUGCUAGUGACAUCAGCAUCAUCUACUCACUUGCUAGUGACAUCAGCAUCAUCUACACACCUGCUAGUGACAUCAGCAUCAUCUACUCACCUGCUAGUGACAUCAGCAUCAUCUACACACCUGAUAGUGACAUCAGCAUCAUCCACACACCUGCUAGUGACAUCAGCAUCAUCUACUCACCUGCUAGUGACGUCAGCAUCAUCUUCACACCUGCUAGUGACAUCAGCAUCAUCUACACACCUGAUAGUGACAUCAGCAUCAUCCACACACCUGCUAGUGACAUCAGCAUCAUCUACUCACCUGCUAGUGACGUCAGCAUCAUCUACACACCUGCUAGUGACAUCAGCAUCAUCUACACACCUGCUAGUGACAUCAGCAUCAUCUACACACCUGCUAGUGACAUCAUGCUUCUCUUCACCUGCUAGUCUGCUUUGUGAUAAGCAAAUUUUAUAAAAAUUUAACUCUUUACUUUUACUUAUGAUCUGCAAUAUCGUUUCAGAUUCUGAACACAUCAGAAAUCACCAACCCCUCCUGACAUAUCUUUCCAGUUUGGGGUACAAUUAGAUGGCAAUCCAAGAUGGCAGCAUGUCCAAACCGUCUACAUUUCUGUCUCUGUCUGUGUGAUUGUCAUCAAUGUUAUUGUCUCUUGAUGGUGCUGUCUCUGAAAUAUUGGACUUGCUUCGAGUAAACUAGGUUACUGUCUUUGAUUUGUAAAUAGACAGUUAAUCUGGCAGGCGAACACGGCAAGUGGUUUACAGGCACUGUGCUGGGACUAAUCUACACUGGCCGUUUUCUGUUCAUCGCUAACGUUCUAUAAGGAACCAGUCCAUCACACAUCGAACUUGGAUUUAAUUGAAGUGAAACUUACUCUCUUGACGUUUCGGAUGACCUGGACCGCCCUGUCAGUGCGGAACUUGGACCCUGUUCAACGCAGCCAAAUCGCCGACAUGCCUUCGAAUCUUACGUGUCCAAACUUCUCAUGAGAAAGGGAAGUGCUUUUUUCUUGUCUUUGCGCCUUGUGCUUGAAUCUGUAUCUUUGUUGUUUUAAAAUCUGGCGGGUCCUGAUUUUUGAUCACUUCUUUCACAGCAUUGCUUCAUUGGGCUUGUUUGCAACGUCAUCUGUCUCAGGAGGUCGGA